Molecule: long non-coding RNA, 1636 nt
Filed under: Salvia miltiorrhiza (redroot sage)
Lineage: Eukaryota; Viridiplantae; Streptophyta; Magnoliopsida; Lamiales; Lamiaceae
Description: long non-coding RNA (SMIL_LNC004641)
Source: RNAcentral
AUCCUACAACCAACAAAAGCUCCAACAAUCCAUCCAUCCACAAUUUAAUCGUGUUUCUCCUGCUUAACACAUGUCUUAUUCUAUCAAUCCAUGAGACAUUAAACUCCAAAUAGGAUAGACUUGUCUUGUGACAAUCGUAUCCCAUCUCAUCUUAUCCAUAUCUUAAACAAUUUCUUUAUACAAAUCAUUCUUCUCUCAUCAAGACACUCCUCGUUUAUUGAAAACUUAGAAAUCAAUAAUUCUUAAAUGACUUAACAAUUAUAAUUUGAAAAUCGUCUCACCACCAUUUUACGAAUUUCAAUAAUAAUUAUAUAUAUAAAUAGCAUAUAAAUAUAUAAUAAUCAUUUCUUUACUCCCAUGCAAAGUUUACCAUUCAAAUAACUUUGCAAAAUAAAAUAAAAUAAAAGAUAUAUUUCAUUUCCAUGCUUACCUAGCCUCGUAAGCAAACGACGAAUUCCGAUCGUCUCCAACUCGUAUGAUUCCACGAGUUUCGCUUAAUCGCCGAAUAUCUAUAAUUAUAAAUCAUAGAAGGCUACCCGGCGUUUAACUUGGCGAACGACGAGAGUUCGCAAGAGCCUUUAUUCACUUUAAAGUGAAUAAACGAAGGAAAAGAGGGUUGUUUCCUUGAAUUCUCGACUGUGAGGGCCGAAGAGAAAGAGUGAACGGUGUCCAGCGGCAAAAGGCCUGCUCUCUAGCCGUCGCAGGAGACGAGGCGAUCGUGAGAGAGAGCAAGAACGAGAUGAAACGUUCUUGAGAUCGUUCACUAACGUCGUUUCGCCGGAGGAUAUUGCGGCUAUUGGUUUGGGAGAUGUAGAGAGUGUUUGAGCAUUUCGAUUGUUGGUGGUGGUAGCCUGUAGAUAGGUGAAGGGCUACGCGUUCUCGGUUUGCAGCCUCGUGGCCGGUCGGCGACGAAAUAAACCGGCAAAGAGGGCCCACUCGUGCUUCUGUUCUAAUUUCAGCGAGAGAACAGGGGGCUUUUCUCAGCGUUUCCCUUUCUGUUCCACGGAUUUCUCGGCUGAUUGUGCGAGGAUGGCGGCGACGACGGUGGCCGGCGGAGCUCUAUUGGCGAGUUUGGAGUGGCGACGUGAUUAAGCAGAACAGCUGCUAUCCUGCUUUAACGGUUGCUGUUAAGAUAUGAUCGGAGAGGGAGCUUGGAGCUGGAAAAGGAGGGAGGGGUGGUGGUGUUCCACGGUGAUGGCGCGAAUAGGCGAGGCGGCGGCGCGACGGGGGCGGCGCGCGGCUACUGCUCUCGUGUUCUGCUGACAGCAGCUGCUACGACUCCCAGCUCCUGCUGCUGCUCGGCUGCUGCUGUCUUGAAGGAGCUGCUGUUGUGCCGGCAAGAGGCGGCUGAUGGUGAUCGGCGAGUUCGACAGCAGCGGUGGAAGUUGGCGGCGGCGGCUGGAGCUUGGCGAUGGAGAGAGUUUGAGCGAGAGAGAGCUGAGCGAGAGUGAGAGAUAGAGGAACAAAAUAAAUUUGAAAGCACGAAAAAUCGAGAGAGAGAGAGAUAGAGGAGAGGAGAGAGAGAGGGAUUUGUGGGCCCCAUUGAGGAUAUACUUGUCUUUUCACUAGAAAAUGGCUAUUUUUACUAUAGUUUUAUAGUUGUGGCUUUUUUUAAAAUUGUUUUUAUAUUUUAGGC